UCUAAAAAGGCAUCCUCUAGCAUUUUAGAGUAACAUCAUCUAACAGGACACAUCUGUACCUUCCUUGUGCCUCUUAAAGCUUUCACUGAUCCCAGGUCAAGGUUCAACAUUUCAAAGG
RNAcentral lists this long non-coding RNA (118 nucleotides) under Anas platyrhynchos platyrhynchos (common mallard). RNAcentral's name for it is "lncRNA (ENSAPLG00000020695.1)". Lineage: Eukaryota; Metazoa; Chordata; Aves; Anseriformes; Anatidae. The record is from RNAcentral.